UGAUCCUAACCAAACUCCGAAUACCCGGGAGUACUAUCUGGCAGACACACGGCGGGUGCUAACGUCCGUCGUGAAGAGGGAAACAACCCUGACCUACAGCUAAGGCCCCCAAUUCGUGGCUAAGUGGGAAAGCAGGUGGGACGUCCAAAACAACCAGGAGGUUGGCUUAGAAGCAGCCAUCCUUUAAAGAUAGCGUAACAGCUCACUGGUCUAAACAAGAUGUCCUGCGGCGAAGAUGUAACGGGGCUCAAGCCACGAGCCGAAGCUAGGACUGCAUAUGCAGUGGUAGCGGAGCGUUCUGUUCUGUACACCUUGCGUCUUGCACACCCUCGCGGUGUGACGGACGCAAUCGGUGUCUGCUGAGAAGCCGGCCCGUAAGGGACCGGUGGAGCGUUCAGAAGUGAGAAUGUUGACAUGAGUAGCGACAAACAGGGUGAGAGACCCUGUCGCCGAAAGUCCAAGGGUUCCUGCUUAAAGUUAAUCUGAGCAGGGUAAGCCGGCCCCUAAGGCGAGGCAGAAAUGCGUAGUCGAUGGGAACCAGGUUAAUAUUCCUGGGCCAGUGGGAAGUGACGGAUCUCAAAGGUAGUUUCCUCUUAUCGGAUUGAGGAGGCUGCUCAGAGGUUCCUGGAAAUAGCCCCACACCAGACCGUACCCGAAACCGACACAGGUGGACUGGUAGAGAAUACCAAGGCGCUUGAGAGAACCAUGUUUAAGGAACUCGGCAAAAUGCUCCGUAAGUUCGCGAGAAGGAGGCCCCGUCAUUGCGCAAGCAGUGGCGGGGGGCACAGACCAGGGGGUGGCGACUGUUUAUUAAAAACACAGGGCUCUGCGAAGUCGCAAGACGACGUAUAGGGUCUGACGCCUGCCCGGUGCCGGAAGGUUAAAAGGAGGGGUGCAAGCUCCGAAUUGAAGCCCCGGUAAACGGCGGCCGUAACUAUAACGGUCCUAAGGUAGCGAAAUUCCUUGUCGGGUAAGUUCCGACCUGCACGAAUGGCGUAACGACUUCCCCGCUGUCUCGAACAUGGACUCAGCGAAAUUGAAUUGCCUGUCAAGAUGCAGGUUCCCGCGGUUAGACGGAAAGACCCCGUGCACCUUUACUACAGCUUCACACUGGCAUCAGGCCAGGCAUGUGCAGGAUAGGUGGUAGGCUUUGAAGUGGGGACGCCAGUCCCCAUGGAGCCUCCCUUG
This 1188-nucleotide ribosomal RNA is filed under the name anaerobic digester metagenome. RNAcentral's name for it is "bacterial LSU rRNA". It matches the Rfam family "Bacterial large subunit ribosomal RNA", at positions 940 to 2194 of the family's 2925-position model. The record is from RNAcentral.